UUGGAAUUGCUAGUAAUCGCAGAUCAGAAUGCUGCGGUGAAUACGUUCCCGGGUCUUGUACACACCGCCCGUCACACCAUGGGAGUUGGAAAUGCCCGAAGUCAGUGACCAAACCGAAAGGAAGGAGCUGCCGAAGGUGGAGCCGAUGACUGGGGUGAAGUCGUAACAAGGUAAC
RNAcentral lists this ribosomal RNA (175 nucleotides) under uncultured bacterium. RNAcentral describes it as "partial 16S ribosomal RNA". It matches the Rfam family "Bacterial small subunit ribosomal RNA", at positions 1326 to 1500 of the family's 1533-position model. The record is from RNAcentral.